GCAGUCGAACGAACUCUGGUAUUGAUUGGUGCUUGCAUCAUGAUUUACAUUUGAGUGAGUGGCGAACUGGUGAGUAACACGUGGGAAACCUGCCCAGAAGCGGGGGAUAACACCUGGAAACAGAUGCUAAUACCGCAUAACAACUUGGACCGCAUGGUCCGAGCUUGAAAGAUGGCUUCGGCUAUCACUUUUGGAUGGUCCCGCGGCGUAUUAGCUAGAUGGUGGGGUAACGGCUCACCAUGGCAAUGAUACGUAGCCGACCUGAGAGGGUAAUCGGCCACAUUGGGACUGAGACACGGCCCAAACUCCUACGGGAGGCAGCAGUAGGGAAUCUUCCACAAUGGACGAAAGUCUGAUGGAGCAACGCCGCGUGAGUGAAGAAGGGUUUCGGCUCGUAAAACUCUGUUGUUAAAGAAGAACAUAUCUGAGAGUAACUGUUCAGGUAUUGACGGUAUUUAACCAGAAAGCCACGGCUAACUACGUGCCAGCAGCCGCGGUAAUACGUAGGUGGCAAGCGUUGUCCGGAUUUAUUGGGCGUAAAGCGAGCGCAGGCGGUUUUUUAAGUCUGAUGUGAAAGCCUUCGGCUCAACCGAAGAAGUGCAUCGGAAACUGGGAAACUUGAGUGCAGAAGAGGACAGUGGAACUCCAUGUGUAGCGGUGAAAUGCGUAGAUAUAUGGAAGAACACCAGUGGCGAAGGCGGCUGUCUGGUCUGUAACUGACGCUGAGGCUCGAAAGUAUGGGUAGCAAACAGGAUUAGAUACCCUGGUAGUCCAUACCGUAAACGAUGAAUGCUAAGUGUUGGAGGGUUUCCGCCCUUCAGUGCUGCAGCUAACGCAUUAAGCAUUCCGCCUGGGGAGUACGGCCGCAAGGCUGAAACUCAAAGGAAUUGACGGGGGCCCGCACAAGCGGUGGAGCAUGUGGUUUAAUUCGAAGCUACGCGAAGAACCUUACCAGGUCUUGACAUACUAUGCAAAUCUAAGAGAUUAGACGUUCCCUUCGGGGACAUGGAUACAGGUGGUGCAUGGUUGUCGUCAGCUCGUGUCGUGAGAUGUUGGGUUAAGUCCCGCAACGAGCGCAACCCUUAUUAUCAGUUGCCAGCAUUAAGUUGGGCACUCUGGUGAGACUGCCGGUGACAAACCGGAGGAAGGUGGGGAUGACGUCAAAUCAUCAUGCCCCUUAUGACCUGGGCUACACACGUGCUACAAUGGAUGGUACAACGAGUUGCGAACUCGCGAGAGUAAGCUAAUCUCUUAAAGCCAUUCUCAGUUCGGAUUGUAGGCUGCAACUCGCCUACAUGAAGUCGGAAUCGCUAGUAAUCGCGGAUCAGCAUGCCGCGGUGAAUACGUUCCCGGGCCUUGUACACACCGCCCGUCACACCAUGAGAGUUUGUAACACCCAAAGUCGGUGGGGUAACCUUUUAG
Molecule: ribosomal RNA, 1422 nt
Filed under: Lactiplantibacillus plantarum
Lineage: Bacteria; Bacillati; Bacillota; Bacilli; Lactobacillales; Lactobacillaceae
Description: bacterial SSU rRNA
Rfam family: Bacterial small subunit ribosomal RNA
Source: RNAcentral